RNAcentral lists this ribosomal RNA (253 nucleotides) under uncultured bacterium. Its description in RNAcentral is "partial 16S ribosomal RNA". It matches the Rfam family "Bacterial small subunit ribosomal RNA", at positions 524 to 776 of the family's 1533-position model. The record is from RNAcentral.
UACAGAGGGGGCAAGCGUUAUUCGGAAUUAUUGGGCGUAAAGGGCGCGUAGGCGGCUUGGCAAGUGGAUGGUGAAAUCCCUCGGCUUAACCGAGGAACUGCCGUCCAAACUGCUUUGCUUGAGACCGGGAGAGGUGAGUGGAAUUCCCAGUGUAGCGGUGAAAUGCGUAGAUAUUGGGAGGAACACCAGUGGCGAAGGCGGCUCACUGGCCCGUAACUGACGCUGAGGUGCGAAAGCGUGGGGAGCAAACAGG